This 5349-nucleotide long non-coding RNA is filed under the name Sus scrofa (pig). Its description in RNAcentral is "lncRNA (ENSSSCG00005004022.1)". Lineage: Eukaryota; Metazoa; Chordata; Mammalia; Artiodactyla; Suidae. The record is from RNAcentral.
GAUACAGAAAUGCCUGGUAAGCCCUAGCUUGUUCUCACUCUCCUGUCUUCCAGGCCCAGAUCUUUAGCUAUGACCUUGUAGAGGUGAUAGUUAUGUAGAGGCAAUAGCUCUCCAUAGACCUCUCCAUGAGCUUUAUUCAUGGUCCCCUUCAGUGGCUGUAAAUUCUUGGCUUCUCAGUGUCCAUGCAAGCUGCAAUUUGUCCAGUUAAGUUAGUCCAUCUGGAGGACUAAGUGGGGACCCUGCCCCAACUACCAAGCCAGAUCUUCAUUUUUCCCAGCACCCCCCAUAUUUGUGUAAAGUCUAAUUCCUACAAUAUUCGUCUUAUCCCCAUAAUAAUCAGAGGGGUUCUGUUGAACCCAGAUGGCUAUAUUUUUUGCUCAAAGUCUGACUAAUUACUUAGGCAUCUUCCAACCACAUAGUGUACAAUUAGUGACCCCUCUGGCUCCAGCACUCUUUAUUCUCUUUACUAUGCCUUACUUUUUUACUUAUUUACUUGUGUAUUUCUUUUCUGUGUCUUUCUUUCUGACUAGAGUGUAAGCUCCAUGAGGGCAGACACUUUGCCUGUUAUGUUCACUGCUGUAUCCCUAGUGCCUAGCACAGUGUAGGUGCCCAAUAAAUAUUUUGAGUGAAUGAGUUUAUUACUUUCAUUUGUCUUAUGUUAAAUAGGAUUUUAUUAAAAACAUUUCUGCUACUAAAAAAGUUUGAAAUUGCUGUAUUGGACUUUGUUUAAGGAACUGGGAGUAUAGAGAUGAACAUUGUUUAUGGGCACAUAGUAGGUGUUUAAUGAAUAUUUGUUACAUGAACAUGAAUAAAUUAAUGAGUGAAUGAAUAAAUAGCUUUUACUUAAAGGAGCUCACAGUAUCCCCGAUGUUGUUGGGGAAUAGGGCAUAAAAAUGAAAGAUACCAGAGGUUCACAAAAUACAUUUUGAUUAAAUGUCACAUGGCCAAAUGUCAAAAUCAAUAUCAGCUUAAAGCUUACUAGUAUUGUCACAGAAGAGGAAAUUCUGAAAGGCAAAGUUUUAAAUAUCAUUAAAAAUUAUGACCCAUUUAUUAUUAAAUUUUUUGGUAAUUAAACUUUAAAUGUUUGAUAACUAAAGGUAAAAACAAUAAUUUCUCAGCCCUUCCAAUUGUCCUAAUUUUACUUAAACUUCUAGAAAAGUUUUAGGUUAAAAAACUGUAACAUGCCUUUCCUAAAACUAACUAAAGGACUCUCAAUACUCACAGUAUACAUCAAUAUAAUUUCCCUUUAUACAUACUUGAAAAUUUGAAAAGAUACGAAUAGCUUUUAUAGUAAACCUUGACUUGCCAUAUUUACUUUUACAGUAAUAAUUAUACCGACAUAUUGAUAGAUUGUCACAUCAAGCGCAGUAGAUUUUGUUUUACUUCUAAGUUACAUCUAGAAUGGUUAUCAGUAUUUGAAAAUGGUUAACCAGAUAUUAAAAAUUAAUGCAAAAGACUUGCCCUGUUGGAAUUAGCAAUGUUAGCAGAUAAGAUAUUGGCUUACACAGUCAUGCAAUCAUGUGCAAGUUCAGGAUACCAGAGGUGAUAUCGAGUCAAAACCCAAGGGCAGGGCUGGGGCUGAAAGAAAUAUUUGCACCAAAGCCUGAGGCAGAAGCUAAGCUUUCAUGCCUUCCUAGAUAAUACCUUUCAUUUUUAUAGCAUUUUGCAUUUUUGAGAGCUUUUUUUCUGCAAACUCUCAUCUUCUCAACCACAGUUUUGGGGGAGAAUGUAGACAGGGUAGCUAUCAUUUAAGUCAUGUGAUGAAUGAGGAGACUGAGGUUCAGAGACUUGAGGUGACUUGAUGUGGUAGGAGGGACCUGAGCUGGUUUUCUGACAGUAUUUUCUGGGUUCUUUGUUCCAAUGUCCUGUGUUGAGGGGCCCUUCACUAUCUUAACCAGGGUUCUCUGGAAAGCAGAACCUAAAACAAAGACUUGUGUGCAGGUAAUUUAUUUGGAAAUGAUCUUAGGAAAGAGUUAGGAAUGAGGGGCUAAGGAGAGAGAUGGGGAAGGAGAAAGCCAUUAAGCUCGCCACUGCUUUGGAUGGCUAGCAAUGGACCCCAUGAGACUUUGGGGUCAAUUCUCCAAACUUCCAAGGGGGAUGCAAGGCAGAAACAUGGAAAUACUAGAUCAGAGUGGCCCUAUAGGUUUCAGCCUUCACCCCUUCGUUCUGGGUUGCACAUAUGAGAAUGUCCAGGGCAUCCCAUGGAUUCCCCAUGACAAGGUGGCAGAGAAGCUCCUGGGACAGGAAGUAAGCACUAUGGCAGAGGAUUGAUUCUACUGCCACUGUACCUGGGUAAGAAUGCUGGCACUGCCAUCUGUGUAACCUUGGGCAAGAUAUUUAACCUCUCUGUGCCUUUCUUUGUAUGGAAAAUGGGAUGAGAGUAACAGUCAUUGCGUCAUAGGGUUUUCCUGACUUAACACAUUAAAAAUGCUUAGACCAAUGCUUGGCUCAAGGGAAAAUGCUUGCUGAGCAUUAGACACCAUUGCUGGGUUUCUCAAAGUUUGGGUUUAGGACCUAAACUUGAUGUUGGAAGCAACUGGCAGCCCCUCAUGUGUUGAGCAUAGGCUGAUGUGAUCAGAGCCUAGUUUUAGGAUGGUUAACCUGCCAGCCUGUUUUGGACAUAGCCAGAGGCUCCUGAAGUGAAAGCAGGGGAUUGUAUGUCGAGGUAUGCAGGAUCUAACAAAUCCCAUGUUCACAGGUUUAGCUAACUGAUGACCAAGUUCUCUAAGGAUCCACAGGGAGAUGAAGAAGAAUUCCUUGACAUUGCCUACCUUCCCUCAGUCCUCAAGGAUUCUGAUAUCAGACAACAGCAUCUCAUGCUCUAGGGAUUGGGAAACAAAAUGAAGCCUGCUGUUCACGUUAUUUAGUGAUUAACAUGGUUGAAGGAACACAGGUUUAGGCUUCUAGAUCAGCAUUUGUGUCUUGGCUUUGGUUGCCUUUGGCAAGUUCUUUAUCUCGCUGAGAUUUAUGAAGGUUAUUUUCUAUAAAAUAGGGAAAACGUGUUGACGUCUUAGUAUUUUUGAAGAAUUAAUGAGGCAGUCCUGUACAGACCCUGGUACAAGGUGGAACUAUCAGUAGGCUUUCAGCAGUGUUUUAAAGUGAGUAUAACGUGCCUUUUAUUACUAUUGUUAUCAUUACUUUAUAGGGUUUCGUAAGGGGUAAAAAGAUGAGGUAUAUAAACCGCCUAGGAUGAUUUGUAUUCGGUGUCUUGUAUAUAGUAGGCUCUUAAUAAAUAACAGUUUUCAUCUGUCUUAUCCUCCCAUUGGGCUGCUUGCCUUUGCUCCAGGGUCUGUGCUGUUGCCAAUGUCAGGCAAGGCUUAUCAACCCCAUCUAUCUCUAGCUCAUUGUCCAAGAGAGUGUGCAUUUUCUUUGCUUUUGGUUUUCUAAUGCCCAGGAUGACUUCCCCCAAGCAGUGUCAACAGCCCCUUUGAGGUUUCCACUGGCUUGGCAGCGGCACUGCCUCUUAUUCUCAGUGAUGUACACAUCAGCAGCUGCAGUUUCUCAUGGACGCAAGCCUGUGUGAUCUCAGCUGGACAUGCUACCUCUGACCAUUUCCCUGGCCUGUCUCAGGACUCUUGGGACAGAAUCAACUUUGUUGCAGAGUCUUUGCUGAAGCUCUGAAGAGUUGCCCAGUUUAAGGAUAAAGCGCAUUUUCUAUCCAAAAUUGAGGACUGGCUUUAAGCACCUCUCUCAACUUUUGUGUAUGGCUUUAUGUUUGUAAAAGUCCCUUCCCAUCAUUUAUCAUCUGUGCAAGCACAACUGUUUAUAUAAAAUAUAUAUAGCUGCUAACAAAUGCCCCGUAUUGGAAUGCACAGUUCUGUGUUAAACUAAUCUGCUCCUCCAAAAAGGAUCUUGCAAAUUCACUCACCAGAUUUAUAUUGAGGAGUUGACUGAAAUCAGUUGAGGCACUGAGGACACAGGCUACCAGAGAGGUUAGUGCAAGAAAGGCCAGUUCUCGAAGGAAAAGUUUUGCUAGGUUAGUCUUUUGCUUGACAAAUAUUUAUUGAGCAACUAUUACAUGCCAGGCAUUUCUUCUAGGUGCUAAAGGUAAAAUAGGGAACAAAUAGACAAAAAUUUUUGCCCCAGUGGAGCUUCCAUCCUAGAAGCGGAGGCAGAAAUGAAACUAAGUAAGUAAAAUAUGUAAUGUGUUAGAUACUAGUAAGUGUUAAGGAAACAAAGGGUUAUAAAUUGCUGGAGCCAUGGGUGUUGGGGAUGGCUGUAGUGGUGGUAAGGACUGAAAUUUAUCGAUCACUCUGUUGGAUGUGGUCACUGCCCUCAUGGGAGUGUGGUGGGAGGUGUGGGCUGCCCACCAAAAUGUCUUCUUUCCUUCUUCUACGGUGAUAUGACCACAGUUGGGACAGAUGUGGGUUGCAAGCCAGGCUCUGUAUUUUGCAGCCCCAUCUUGGAAUUAGAUGUGGCCAUGGGGUUCAGUUCCCUCAGUGCAAUUCGACAAGUGGCUUCAGCCACACCACAGGGGCUACCUCCUUCACAUAUGCCCCUUCCCUGCCUUCCCCUGGGCUUGAGUGAUGAACACCAGGGCCACCUGCAAAGGCAGGCUUGGCAGAUGCCAGAUCCAAGGUCAGCCCAAGUCCUUAAAUGACCAUAGGAGGACAGCUGCCCACUGACCUGCGAUACCCACUCUGGACCAUUAGUGAGAAAGAAACAUCUUGUUAGUAACAUUCUAUUGUGGGGGUUCUAGUUGCCAGGGCAGUUUAACACUAACAAAUAUAUGGAGCACUCCUAUAAUGUAUCUUUGAAGGUAAUAACAUGAUUGAUUGCUAUAUUUCAGUCACAUGGAAAAAAAGAGCUAUGAUAGCAGAGAAGGGGAUUGCCUAAUUCUUUCAGCUUGGGCGGAUUAGGGUCAAAUUGGGAAAGGUAUGACAAAGGAGAUGAUAUUUGAGCUGAAUUGAAAAGAAUGAACAAGAUUUCAUUUCAGGGAGGAAAAGGAAAAAGUGCACUGCAAAUUCAAGUCAGAGUCUGAAUAAAAGCUCAGAGGCAUGAAAGUGUCUAUUUUGUGUUAUCUCUGUGUGUGUGCUGCUAGUCUUUGUAAGUUUUUUUUUUUUUUUUUUUUUUUUUUUUUUGUCUUUUUAGGGCCAUACCCACGGUAUAUGGAAGUUCGAUCCCUGGCCUCACUUAGUGGGUUAAGGACCUGGUGUUGCUGUGAGCUGUGGUGUAAUUUGCAGAUGCGGCUUGGAUCCAGCAUUUCUGUGGUUGUGCUGUAGGCUUGUGGUUACAGCUCCAGCUUGGACCCCUAGCCUGGGAACCUCCAUAUGCCAUGCAUGUGGCCAUAAAAAGACAAACAAAAAACAAAACCCCAAAAAACCUGACAUAGUUUCUGUGAGGAUGUGG